CCCGCACAAGCGGUGGAGCAUGUGGUUUAAUUCGACGCAACGCGAAGAACCUUACCAGGGCUUGACAUCCCCUGACCGCGUAUGAAAGUACGUUUUCACCCUCGGGUGACAGGGAGACAGGUGGUGCAUGGUUGUCGUCAGCUCGUGUCGUGAGAUGUUGGGUUAAGUCCCGCAACGAGCGCAACCCCUACGUUUAGUUGCUAACAGGUGAAGCUGAGCACUCUAGACGAACUGCCGUUGACAAAACGGAGGAAGUGGGAUGACGUCAAAUCAUCAUGCCCCUUAUGUUCUGGGCUACACACGUGCUACAAUGGCCGGUACAGACGGAGGCGAAGCCGCGAGGCGGAGCAAAUCCGAAAAAGCCGGUCUCAGUUCGGAUUGCAGGCUGCAAUUCGCCUGCAUGAAGUCGGAAUCGCUAGUAAUCGCAGGUCAGCAUACUGCGGUGAAUACGUUCCCGGGCCUU
RNAcentral lists this ribosomal RNA (463 nucleotides) under uncultured Pelotomaculum sp. RNAcentral describes it as "bacterial SSU rRNA". It matches the Rfam family "Bacterial small subunit ribosomal RNA", at positions 920 to 1382 of the family's 1533-position model. Lineage: Bacteria; Bacillati; Bacillota; Clostridia; Eubacteriales; Desulfotomaculaceae. The record is from RNAcentral.